This is a non-coding RNA of Podarcis lilfordi (Lilford's wall lizard), 107 nucleotides long. The record is from the annotation of a GenBank genome assembly. NCBI's taxonomy places the organism in Eukaryota, Metazoa, Chordata, Lepidosauria, Squamata, Lacertidae.
UUUCUCUCCCUCUCUCUCUCUCUCUCUCUCUCUCUCUCACACACACACACACACACACACAGAGAGAGAGAGAGAGAGAGGGAGAGAGAGAGAGAGAGAGAGAGAAA